Molecule: small nucleolar RNA, 114 nt
Organism: Lampris incognitus (smalleye Pacific opah)
Lineage: Eukaryota; Metazoa; Chordata; Actinopteri; Lampriformes; Lampridae
Product: small nucleolar RNA SNORD89
Exons: 1
Source: RefSeq, a predicted model, not a curated record
GCUGGGAGAUGAUGUUAACAAAAGGCCGAAUUAUAGCGCCCCCGCCAAGCAGUUUGUUCUCAGUGCAGGGGUGUGGUGACAAAAACCAGACCGAGGCGUUUAGCUGAUCCCAGC